GAAAUCCCUCGGGAUGUAAACUUCGCAAGAACGGGAAGAAUAAGUAGGGGACAAUACCCCCUAUGAUGACGGUACCGUUUGUAAGCUCCGGCUAACUCCGUGCCAGCAGCCGCGGUAAUACGGGGGGAGCAAGCGUUGUUCGGAUUUACUGGGCGUAAAGGGCGCGUAGGCGGCCAGCACAAGUCAGUUGUGAAAUCUCCGAGCUUAACUCGGAAAGGUCAACUGAUACUGUGCGGCUAGAGUGCGGAAGGGGCAACUGGAAUUCUUGGUGUAGCGGUGAAAUGCGUAGAUAUCAAGAGGAACACCUGCGGCGAAGGCGGGUUGCUGGGCCGACACUGACGCUGAGGCGCGAAAGCUAGGGGAGCGAACGGGAUUAGAUACCCCGGUAGUCCUAGCCUUAAACGAUGAAUGCUUGGUGUCUGGGGUUAUAUAGUCCCCGGGUGCCGUCGCUAACGCUUUAAGCAUUCCGCCUGGGGAGUACGGUCGCAAGACUGAAACUCAAA
RNAcentral lists this ribosomal RNA (503 nucleotides) under uncultured bacterium. Its description in RNAcentral is "bacterial SSU rRNA". It matches the Rfam family "Bacterial small subunit ribosomal RNA", at positions 410 to 905 of the family's 1533-position model. The record is from RNAcentral.